CAGAGUUAUCUAACUCCCAAACCCAUGUGAACUUACCUUUGUUGCCUCGGCAGAAGCUACCUGGUACCCUUCUGGGACAGCCUACCUGGACCUACCAGGAACGGCUACCCUGGAUCGACCUACCCUGUAGCGCACUGCCGGUGGACCAUUCAACUCUUGUUAUUUUAUUGUAAUCUGAGCGUCUUAUUUUAAUAAGUCA
RNAcentral lists this unclassified non-coding RNA (199 nucleotides) under uncultured Seiridium. Its description in RNAcentral is "sequence contains ITS1". The record is from RNAcentral. Lineage: Eukaryota; Fungi; Ascomycota; Sordariomycetes; Amphisphaeriales; Amphisphaeriaceae.